Pseudomonas putida S11 is the source of this 90-nucleotide non-coding RNA. Lineage: Bacteria; Pseudomonadati; Pseudomonadota; Gammaproteobacteria; Pseudomonadales; Pseudomonadaceae. The record is from Rfam.
CGUAAUGGCGACCGUGCGCGGGCAGACCUUGGUCUGGCCGAGCUUCCUAUGUUCACUCGGUUUCUCACCUCGUGCACGGUUGCCGCCUUU